AUGUCUGACAUGGAGUCCGUGGCUACCCUUAUGGAGUCGACAAGCUUGAAGAUAGAGCAGCUUCAGCGAGCAUUUGCUGAGCUUGAGAGCCAGAGCGCUGUUACCAUGAACUUUAAAUGGAAGCAGCUCGAGGACCAUUUCCGUGGCCUUGAGCAGUCGCUCAAGAAAAAGUUUGACGAGCUGAAAAAGCAGGAGAAGGAGUUCCAGGAGACAGUCGCAAAAUCGGAGAAGAUGCUGGAGCAGCAGGAGGCUGUUGUGGUGGCUAAGGAGCUGACUUCUCUGGAAAAGCUGCAAGAGAAAAGAGAUGCUGCAUUAGCUAUGAUCUUUGGCAAGUCCAAGCUGUCGCUAAACACUAAUUAUAUCACCCCAAUCAAUAAGCCACAGAGUAAUUAUACCGUGGGUACUCUUGAUGUGAAGUGGCCCAAGCAUUCUCCCCAAGGAAAUGCGCAGAUGCAAGAUGGCAAUGCUGCUGUGAAGCCUCGUUCUGAACUUGCCAUUCUCUGUGAGGAGAUGAAUGUUAAAGGGCUUCAUAAGUUCAUAUCAGACAACAGAAAGAACUUGACGUCUAUCCGUGAGGAAAUCCCGAGUGCACUCAAGGGAGCAUCGCAACCAUAUGUCCUGGUGUUGGAUUCCUUGGAGGACUUCUAUUCUGGAGAUAAUCUGGUGUUGGAUGGAAAAAAGGAUGGAGACCUUCUGGGUGUAAGAAGGACGUGCCUAAUGUUGAUGGAGUCUCUUGUACAGUUGCAAGCUGAUGAUAUAACUGGCUUGUUGUCUGAGGGGCAAAUGUUUGCAACAAAUGUGAAAGAUCGGGCGAAAAAGAUUGCGUUUGAGUGGAAGUCCAAGUUGGACAGUCUUGACAUUGAUGCUAGCAAUGGAAACUGCCUGGAAGCACAUGCAUUUCUUCAACUGCUUGCUACCUUUGGUAUUUUUUCUGAAUUUAAUGAAGAUGAACUUUGCAAACUUCUUCCUUCUGUCAGUCGACGUCGUCAAACACCUGAGCUUUGCCGACUGCUUGGGUUGUCACAGAAGAUGCCAGGUGUCAUUGGAGUUCUGGUGGAUAGUGCAAGACCAAUUGAUGCAAUUAACUUGGCCUACGCGUUUGGACUCACUGAACAGUUUGAGCCAGUGCAAUUGCUGAAAGCAUAUCUGAGGGAGGUCAAGAAGGUGUCACAUGCCAAGAAUGGAAAAAUGUCUCCUGGAGCACAGAAUGAGAUGAAUGAGCGUGAGCUGUCUGCACUGAAAGCUGUGAUCAAGUGCGUCGAGGAGCACAAACUGGAGGAGCAAUAUCCGGUGGACCCACUUCAGAAAAGGGUGAUUCAGCUGGAGAAGGCCAAGGCAGACAAGAGGAGGGCUGUCGAAGCCGCCAAGCCACAGUCCAAGAGGCCGCGUGCCAACGGAUCGCUCUAUGCACCCCGUGUCACCAGCUUCCCCGAGAAGAGCUUCUACCAGGCAACACCAGAGAGGCACCCAUACCCUUACGAAAGGCAGUUUGUGUACGGCGCCGAGGCCCACCACCACCCUACGAUGAUGAACGCGGCUCCCUACACCAUCUCACCCGCCCACACGCCGUACUACGGUAAUGGCUACCCGGUGCAGUACCAGGUACCUUAUAUCCACUAA
RNAcentral lists this ribosomal RNA (1620 nucleotides) under Triticum aestivum (bread wheat). RNAcentral's name for it is "partial small subunit ribosomal RNA". The record is from RNAcentral. Lineage: Eukaryota; Viridiplantae; Streptophyta; Magnoliopsida; Poales; Poaceae.